Molecule: unclassified non-coding RNA, 1392 nt
Filed under: Leishmania donovani
Lineage: Eukaryota; Euglenozoa; Kinetoplastea; Trypanosomatida; Trypanosomatidae
Description: gene:LdHU3.24.2250(CDS-product:inhibitor_of_cyste ine_peptidase)
Source: RNAcentral
UCCCUCCCCCCUCCGUCUACAUAUCUGCGCGCUCAGCUUGCUCACGCUCGCCUGUUUUCUCACUCCUCGCAUCGCAGCAGCAGCAUAUACAUACACACACAGAUGCGACCAAAAAUGACCGCCCCGCUCACUAUCAAGGACAACAACAAGUGCUUGAACGUGCACGUCGGCAGCACGAUCGAGAUUCACCUGAAGGGCAACCCUACCACUGGCUACAUGUGGACGCGUGCCGGUUUUGGGGGCAAGGAGAUGCUUAGCGAUGAGCACCUGGAGGUCGUCUCCAAGUACACGCCGACACCAGUCUCGGGUCCUAUGGUGGGGGUUGGUGGCUCCUACACGGUGCUCGUGAAACCGCUGAGAAAGGGCCAUCACACGAUGGAGCUGGUCUACAUGCGCCCUUUCGAGGGACUCAAGCCAGAGAACGAGAGGUACACGUUGCACCUCGACGUCGAGUAGACAAUGACAAAGGAAGAAAGCGGAGGAACGACAUGACGUGUGUGUGUGUGUGUGUCUGUGCGCCCCCAGCUUCACGUCGCGAUGCGCCCGUGAUCUCGGCCUUCUCCUCCAGGACUGUCAUUGCCCACGUCUCCCUCACUCCCUCAUCCUGAUCUGCCUCCGCAUAUACCUCUGUUUGACGUGCAUCAUGCUGCCAGCGAAUGUUAAGGCGGAGAAGACGGCGGUGCAGUCGUGCUCUUGAUAGAGCGAGUAUAAAGGAUUGACUUACGGCCCUCAUGCCUUCACACAUGUGCACAACUGGUGCAUAUGUGGGCCUACACGCACACACACCUCUCAGGCACGUCACGUUACAUCAUGUCCGUUGAUCGCUGUUUUCGUUCGGUCCUUGUUGCCUCGUCGCCCUAACCCUGUUCUACGCCCGCCCACCGGCCCAUCAGCCCACACACCUGGCUAGCUCCUCUUCUAUUCUACCUUUCAGCUUCAGAUGCGGUGCUUCCUCCUCCCUCUUUCACACAUAUAUGCGCAUGCACUUGCGUUCUUCUCUGUCGUAGCGCUGCGCUACAGCGACGACGACAACAAAUUCAUUCUAGCGCGCUUACUGUACCUUCUCUUGUCUUUUCCGUGGCCCUGAUUUGCCGUAGAGAAACGCGAACCUAUCAACGCUGACAACGAGGUAAACGCACACGCACAGACACGGGGCGUAUGCGGCAUGCACCGGCCCCAUCCCCUCAUCACCCGCUCAUACUUCUACACGAUCUCUCGCUUUCCUUUUUUUUUCGUGCGCUCGUCCGUGCGUGUGUGUGUGCGUAAUCCCCUCUCGUUGCGGGUACUCCGGAGCGUGUGCCCGCGUUGACGCAGUGCGCCGGUGCGCUCGUCUGUGCGUUUCUUUUUUUUUCGCUUUUCAUCGCUUAUUUCACGUCUCUCGCCCUUGCUAUC